UGAGGAAUAUUGGUCAAUGGGCGAGAGCCUGAACCAGCCAAGUCGCGUGAGGGAAGACGGUCCUACGGAUUGUAAACCUCUUUUGUCGGGGAGCAAUAAAGCGUACGUGUACGCAGAUGCGAGUACCCGAAGAAAAGCAUCGGCUAACUCCGUGCCAGCAGCCGCGGUAAUACGGAGGAUGCGAGCGUUAUCCGGAUUUAUUGGGUUUAAAGGGUGCGCAGGCGGAAAGUGCAAGUCAGCGGUCAAACGACGGGGCUCAACCCCGUCUCGCCGUUGAAACUGUCUUUCUAGAGUGAGCGAGAAGUAUGCGGAAUGCGUGGUGUAGCGGUGAAAUGCAUAGAUAUCACGCAGAACUCCGAUUGCGAAGGCAGCAUACCGGCGCUCAACUGACGCUCAUGCACGAAAGCGUGGGUAUCGAACAGGAUUAGAUACC
Molecule: ribosomal RNA, 433 nt
Filed under: uncultured bacterium
Lineage: Bacteria
Description: bacterial SSU rRNA
Rfam family: Bacterial small subunit ribosomal RNA
Source: RNAcentral